AGUAACGCGUGAGGAACCUGCCUUCCANAGGGGGACAACAGUUGGAAACGACUGCUAAUACCGCAUAAUGUGUUUUGAUGGCAUCAUUGAGACACCAAAGAUUUAUCGCUGGAAGAUGGCCUCGCGUCUGAUUAGCUAGUAGGCGGGGUAACGGCCCACCUAGGCGACGAUCAGUAGCCGGACUGAGAGGUUGACCGGCCACAUUGGGACUGAGAUACGGCCCAGACUCCUACGGGAGGCAGCAG
Molecule: ribosomal RNA, 245 nt
Filed under: uncultured bacterium
Lineage: Bacteria
Description: partial 16S ribosomal RNA
Rfam family: Bacterial small subunit ribosomal RNA
Source: RNAcentral